RNAcentral lists this unclassified non-coding RNA (354 nucleotides) under soil metagenome. RNAcentral's name for it is "partial contains 5.8S ribosomal RNA, internal transcribed spacer 2, and large subunit ribosomal RNA". The stretch from base 1 to 120 matches the Rfam family "5.8S ribosomal RNA", at positions 35 to 154 of the family's 154-position model. The record is from RNAcentral.
GAUGAAGAACGUAGCGAAAUGCGAUAAGUAAUGUGAAUUGCAGAAUUCAGUGAAUCAUCGAAUCUUUGAACGCACAUUGCGCCCGCCAGUAUUCUGGCGGGCAUGCCUGUCCGAGCGUCAUUUCAACCCUCGAACCCCUCCGGGGGGUCGGCGUUGGGGAUCGGCCCUGCCUUUGGCGGUGGCCGUCUCCGAAAUACAGUGGCGGUCUCGCCGCAGCCUCUCCUGCGCAGUAGUUUGCACACUCGCAUCGGGAGCGCGGCGCGACCACAGCCGUUAAACACCCAACUUCUGAAAUGUUGACCUCGGAUCAGGUAGGAAUACCCGCUGAACUUAAGCAUAUCAAUAAGCGGAGGA